RNAcentral lists this ribosomal RNA (446 nucleotides) under uncultured bacterium. RNAcentral describes it as "partial 16S ribosomal RNA". It matches the Rfam family "Bacterial small subunit ribosomal RNA", at positions 338 to 795 of the family's 1533-position model. The record is from RNAcentral.
CCUACGGGUGACAGCAGUCGAGAAUCAUUCACAAUGGGGGAAACCCUGAUGGUGCGACGCCGCGUGGGGGAAUGAAGGUCUUCGGAUUGUAAACCCCUGUCAUGUGGGAGCAAAUUAAAAAGAUAGUACCACAAGAGGAAGAGACGACUAACUCUGUGCCAGCAGCCGCGGUAAUACAGAGGUCUCAAGCGUUGUUCGGAAUCACUGGGCGUAAAGCGUGCGUAGGCUGUUUCGUAAGUCGUGUGUGAAAGGCGCGGGCUCAACCCGCGGACGGCACAUGAUACUGCGAGACUAGAGUAAGGGAGGGGGAACCGGAAUUCUCGGUGUAGCAGUGAAAUGCGUAGAUAUCGAGAGGAACACUCGUGGCGAAGGCGGGUUCCUGGACAUUAACUGACGCUGAGGCACGAAGGCCAGGGGAGCGAAAGGGAUUAGAUACCCGGGUAGUC